RNAcentral lists this ribosomal RNA (253 nucleotides) under uncultured bacterium. RNAcentral's name for it is "partial 16S ribosomal RNA". It matches the Rfam family "Bacterial small subunit ribosomal RNA", at positions 524 to 776 of the family's 1533-position model. The record is from RNAcentral.
UACAGAGGUCUCAAGCGUUGUUCGGAUUCAUUGGGCGUAAAGGGUGCGUAGGCGGCGCGGUAAGUCGGGUGUGAAAUCUCGGAGCUUAACUCCGAAACUGCAUUCGAUACUGCUGUGCUUGAGGACUGGAGAGGAGACUGGAAUUUACGGUGUAGCGGUGAAAUGCGUAGAUAUCUGGAGGAACACCGGUGGCGAAGGCGGCAUCCUGGACCGGUAUUGACGCUGAUGCGCGAAAGCCAGGGGAGCAAGCGGG